GAAAUACUGUUUAAGGAAAGGGAGUACUUGUGGCACCUUAGAGACUAGCCAGUUUGUUUGAGCGUGAGCUUUCGUGGGCUGCAGCUCACUUCAUCGGAUGCGUACUGUGGAGGCUGCAGAGGACAUUGUAUACAUAGAGACCAUGAGGCGGUGCCUCCUCCCACCCCACUCUCCUGCUGGUGGUGGCUUGUCUGGAGUGAUCAUCAAGUUGGGCCAUUUCCGGCUCGGAUCCGGGUUUUCUCGCCCUCCGCCCCCCCACACGCAGACUCGCUCUCCUGCUGGUAAUGGCCCAUCCAGGGUGACCACUCUCUUCACGGUGUGUGUGGUGGUCGGAGUGGGCCAUUUCCUGCACGGGUCCAGGUUCUCUCACGCCCUCACCCCCCUCC
Molecule: long non-coding RNA, 386 nt
Organism: Chelonia mydas (Green sea turtle)
Lineage: Eukaryota; Metazoa; Chordata; Testudines; Cheloniidae
Exons: 3
Source: RefSeq, a predicted model, not a curated record